RNAcentral lists this ribosomal RNA (478 nucleotides) under uncultured bacterium. RNAcentral describes it as "partial 16S ribosomal RNA". It matches the Rfam family "Bacterial small subunit ribosomal RNA", at positions 28 to 507 of the family's 1533-position model. The record is from RNAcentral.
GACGAACGCUGGCGGCGUGCUUAACACAUGCAAGUCGAACGUGAUUUUUGUGGAAAUUCUUUCGGGAAUGGAAAUGAAAUGAAAGUGGCGAACGGGUGAGUAACACGUGAGCAACCUACCUUACACAGGGGGAUAGCCGUUGGAAACGACGAUUAAUACCGCAUGAGACCACAGAAUCGCAUGAUAUAGGGGUCAAAGAUUUAUCGGUGUAAGAAGGGCUCGCGUCUGAUUAGCUAGUUGGAAGGGUAAAGGCCUACCAAGGCGACGAUCAGUAGCCGGUCUGGGAGGAUGAACGGCCACAUUGGAACUGAGACACGGUCCAAACUCCUACGGGAGGCAGCAGUGGGGAAUAUUGCACAAUGGGGGGAACCCUGAUGCAGCGACGCCGCGGGAGCGAAGAAGGUUUUCGAAUCGUAAAGCUCUGUCCUAUGAGAAGAUAAUGACGGUAUCAUAGGAGGAAGCCCCGGCUAAAUACGUG